GACGAACGCUGGCGGCGUGCUUAACACAUGCAAGUCGAGCGGUAAGGCCCUUUCGGGGGUACACGAGCGGCGAACGGGUGAGUAACACGUGGGUGACCCGCCCUCAGCUCUGGGAUAAGCCUGGGAAACCGGGUCUAAUACCGGAUAUGACUCCAUGACGCAUGUUGGUGGGGUGGAAAGCCUUGUGCGGCUGAGGAUGGGCCCGCGGCCUAUCAGCUUGUUGGUGAGGUGAUGGCCUACCAAGGCGACGACGGGUAGCCGGCCUGAGAGGGCGACCGGCCACACUGGGACUGAGACACGGCCCAGACUCCUACGGGAGGCAGCAGUGGGGAAUCUUGCGCAAUGGGACGAAAGCCUGACGCAGCGACGCCGCGUGA
RNAcentral lists this ribosomal RNA (377 nucleotides) under uncultured bacterium. RNAcentral's name for it is "bacterial SSU rRNA". It matches the Rfam family "Bacterial small subunit ribosomal RNA", at positions 28 to 404 of the family's 1533-position model. The record is from RNAcentral.